RNAcentral lists this ribosomal RNA (253 nucleotides) under uncultured bacterium. RNAcentral describes it as "partial 16S ribosomal RNA". It matches the Rfam family "Bacterial small subunit ribosomal RNA", at positions 524 to 776 of the family's 1533-position model. The record is from RNAcentral.
UACGUAGGUGGCGAGCGUUGUCCGGAUUUACUGGGCGUAAAGAGCGCGCAGGCGGUCGGCCAAGUCGAGUGUGAAAGCCCCCGGCUCAACUGGGGAGGGUCACUUGAUACUGGUCGACUCGAAGGCGGGAGAGGGAAGUGGAAUUCCCGGUGUAGUGGUGAAAUGCGUAGAUAUCGGGAGGAACACCAGUGGCGAAGGCGACUUCCUGGCCCGUUCUUGACGCUGAGGCGCGAAAGCUAGGGGAGCAAACAGG